This 253-nucleotide ribosomal RNA is filed under the name uncultured bacterium. RNAcentral describes it as "partial 16S ribosomal RNA". It matches the Rfam family "Bacterial small subunit ribosomal RNA", at positions 524 to 776 of the family's 1533-position model. The record is from RNAcentral.
UACGUAGGGUCCGAGCGUUGUCCGGAAUUACUGGGCGUAAAGAGCUCGUAGGUGGUUUGUCGCGUUGUUCGUGAAAACUCACAGCUCAACUGUGGGCGUGCGGGCGAUACGGGCAGACUGGAGUACUGCAGGGGAGACUGGAAUUCCUGGUGUAGCGGUGAAAUGCGCAGAUAUCAGGAGGAACACCGGUGGCGAAGGCGGAUCUCUGGGCCAUUACUGACGCUGAGGAGCGAAAGCGUGGGGAGCGAACAGG